GACGAACGCUGGCGGCGUGCCUAAUACAUGCAAGUAGAACGCUGAAGGAGGAGCUUGCUUCUCUGGAUGAGUUGCGAACGGGUGAGUAACGCGUAGGUAACCUGCCUGGUAGCGGGGGAUAACUAUUGGAAACGAUAGCAAAUACCGCAUAAGAGUAGAUGUUGCAUGACAUUUGCUUAAAAGGUGCAAUUGCAUCACUACCAGAUGGACCUGCGUUGUAUUAGCUAGUUGGUGAGGUAACGGCUCACCAAGGCGACGAUACAUAGCCGACCUGAGAGGGUGAUUGGCCACACUGGGAAUGAGACACGGCCCAGACUCCUACGGGAGGCAGCAGUAGGGAAUCUUCGGCAAUGGACGGAAGUCUGACCGAGCAACGCCGCGUGAGUGAAGAAGGUUUUCGGAUCGUAAAGCUCUGUUGUAAGAGAAGAACGAGUGUGAGAGUGGAAAGUUCACACUGUGACGGUAUCUUACCAGAAAGGGACGGCUAACUACGUG
RNAcentral lists this ribosomal RNA (495 nucleotides) under uncultured bacterium. Its description in RNAcentral is "partial 16S ribosomal RNA". It matches the Rfam family "Bacterial small subunit ribosomal RNA", at positions 28 to 507 of the family's 1533-position model. The record is from RNAcentral.